GAUGAACGCUGGCGGCGUGCUUAACACAUGCAAGUCGAACGAUGAAGCCCAGCUUGCUGGGUGUAUUAGUGGCGAACGGGUGAGUAACACGUGAGUAACCUGCCCUUUACUCUGGGAUAAGCCUUGGAAACUGGGUCUAUUACCGGAUAGGAGCGUCCACCGCAUGGUGGGUGUUGGAAAGAUUUAUCGGUUUUGGAUGGACUCGCGGCCUAUCAGCUUGUUGGUGGGGUAAUGGCUCACCAAGGCGACGACGGGUAGCCGGCCUGAGAGGGUGACCGGCCACACUGGGACUGAGACACGGCCCAGACUCCUACGGGAGGCAGCAGUGGGGAAUAUUGCACAAUGGGCGCAAGCCUGAUGCAGCGACGCCGCGUGAGGGAUGACGGCCUUCGGGUUGUAAACCUCUUUCGGUAGGGAAGAAGCGAAAGUGACGGUACCUGCAGAAGAAGCACCGGCUAACUACGUG
This 466-nucleotide ribosomal RNA is filed under the name uncultured bacterium. RNAcentral's name for it is "partial 16S ribosomal RNA". It matches the Rfam family "Bacterial small subunit ribosomal RNA", at positions 28 to 507 of the family's 1533-position model. The record is from RNAcentral.